CUGCGCGCGCUCGGGCCGGCAGGGGCCCGCGCCCCCGGCGCCCACAGGUGCUGCGUCCUCGCCUUCUCCGCGCCCCACGCGCCGCCCCGGCCGCCGGCCCCCCGGGCUCCGCAAGCGAGAGGGAGAGUCUGGAGCCGGGAGCGGGACGGUGCAGGAUCAGGGAAAGAUAUCCAUCUUGGUGCAUUCCACUUUCUGGCUCCAGAAUGGACUGGUGAUUUUCCGGACUUGCACAACUCCUAUCCUGGGGUUUCUCUUCAUCAUCAUCCUUGGAAUUCUCUCUUCCCUCUGCUGGAUUGGAUCCAAGGCCGGUUUCCUAAGGAAACCUUUGCUAUGAUCAAGGGCUGCAGAUGAGAAAGAACACCAAGAACUCCAGAAAGACGUUCACCUUGAGGAGAGAGUAGACUGUACCAGUGACCCAGCGAUGUAUCUGUGCUGCUGGAAUCAGGGUUGGCUGCAUGAAGCUGAACAAAAGAACUGUCCCCUUGGUGCCCAAGGAGAUGUACUGAACCAGUUCUCUGUUGUUGUAUUGUUGAAUAUCACUGCAUGUGGUUUUUAGCCAUUAUGAGUAAAGUCAUCAAUAUUCUUGUACAUACACUGUUGCCCGCAUUACUCAUUUUUUUUCCAUGCCCAUUUCCCAUGUCUCAUUGUGUCAGAGUAACUUCAGAAAAAUUACUGCCUCCUUGGAGUUAGUGUGAUUUUAUUUGAAGAAAAGGAUUUGCUGAUAAAGACCUAAUACAUUUUUCUGAUCCCAUAAAUGGAAGUAUUAAGGUCAUUAUAAGAGCCUCUCUUUUUACUGGGGUAUGAAUGUUUGUUAAGGUUUAGUUUCUAUCUUUGAGAGAAUUAGAAUGCAUUUACAGUAUGGUUAUAGUAUCUGAUUAUUAAUAUUGAAGAAAGCAUAAUGUAUUUUUUAUGACCUCUGGGAUUUCACCUUUGCCCGGGUCUAUACUCAUUUAUAGGUAUAUGUUUUACAGACAUUUUCCUAGGAAAUUCGACCAUGUGGAAGUAAUCUGAUGAUAAAAUUAAAGAAGCCUUUGUUUUCA
Molecule: long non-coding RNA, 1040 nt
Organism: Zalophus californianus (California sea lion)
Lineage: Eukaryota; Metazoa; Chordata; Mammalia; Carnivora; Otariidae
Exons: 3
Source: RefSeq, a predicted model, not a curated record